UAGUCCACGCCGUAAACGAUGAGCACUAGGUUUUGGAGGUAUUGACUCCUUCAGAACCGCAGCUAACGCAUUAAGUGCUCCGCCUGGGGAGUACGGCCGCAAGGCUAAAACUCAAAGGAAUUGACGGGGGCCCGCACAAGCGGUGGAUUAUGUGGUUUAAUUCGAAGCAACGCGCAGAACCUUACCUAGGCUUGAACUCCUGAGAAUUUCGGGUAAUGCCGAAAGUGCCCUUCGGGGAAUUCAGUGAGAGGUGCUGCAUGGCUGUCGUCAGCUCGUGUUGUGAAAUGUUGGGUUAAGUCUCGCAACGAGCGCAACCCCUAUCUUUAGUUGCCAGCAUUUAGUUGGGCACUCUAGAGAGACUGCCUGGGUUAACCAGGAGGAAGGUGGGGAUGACGUCAAGUCCUCAUGGGCCCUUAUGUCUAGGGGCUACACACGUAAUACAAUGGUGCAAACAAAGGGAAGCGAACUCGCGAGGGGGAGCAAAUCUCAAAACUUGCAUCUCAGUCCGGAUUGAAGU
This 517-nucleotide ribosomal RNA is filed under the name uncultured bacterium. Its description in RNAcentral is "bacterial SSU rRNA". It matches the Rfam family "Bacterial small subunit ribosomal RNA", at positions 791 to 1304 of the family's 1533-position model. The record is from RNAcentral.